UACGGAGACAGCUGUCAAUCCUAAAUUUAGAUUAUAUGUUUAGAUAAAUGUUUAAAAGAUUUCCUCGCAUGUAUUUUCAGUUUCAAAAGGAUGGUACAACAUGUUAAGGCGACAACUUAUGACGCAUCGCAAUAUUUUGGCAGUCGCAUCAAACCAAGCGGCUGCAAUACAUGAUGGUGAUCUUUUGCGCAAAAUAUCAAAAGAAUUUCGGUGCAACUGCCAAAUUGAAAGGCGGAUUGGACGCGAUUCGAUUAAACGUUAUCCACCAGCUGGAAAUUAAAAGUUGAAUUUAUUCCACCAUCAUAACCAUUCCAUACAUUCCAUGAAAACAACUCCAAGAGUCGUGAAAAACCUGAUCUUUUUGUGUUUGUACAAUAUAUGGUAAUUUUAUACAAUAUAAAGUUGUAAUAGUCUUUCUCGAUUGGUAUAACAAUUUGGUCUAAAAAGCAUUGACACAAGAUAACCUAAUCAAUACAUGGAAAUGCAUAGGUAGCCGAAAUGUAAACGGUCCAAUAUUGCCUAACUUAAACGUGUAAAAAAUGAAAGACCAACUGAAGCGUUAACACUGUAGUGACGGCCCUAAUGACUGCAAAAGUCAUCAUUCAAUUUAUCCAGAUGUGAUACAUUGAAGAAAAGUUUUACGUCUAAUCUAACAAGUCCCUGUUGGUAGUUAUGAAUUUGUAAUUUAGUAGAGACCGAAAGACAUAAGAACAAAUUUACAAUACUUGCAAAUACAUUAACAUAAACGGUAGUUUCCAUUAUAAAUUAUAAAUUAAUGGCAGGUCAAAAGUUGAUCACCAACUCAAUGGAUGGCUAUAUCACAGUUAAUAUUGCUACUUAUUUUAAAGUUUGUGUAAAAAUCACGGAUAAAUAUCAUUAUUUCUAUACAUUUUGUAGGGAUGUAAGAUAACAAUUCUGUAGAAAAGUGCUGGGAAUAAAUCAAAUAAUUAA
Sitodiplosis mosellana (orange wheat blossom midge) is the source of this 951-nucleotide long non-coding RNA. RefSeq lists it as uncharacterized. The record is from RefSeq and is a predicted model, not a curated record. NCBI's taxonomy places the organism in Eukaryota, Metazoa, Arthropoda, Insecta, Diptera, Cecidomyiidae. The transcript is spliced from 3 exons.